RNAcentral lists this ribosomal RNA (481 nucleotides) under uncultured bacterium. RNAcentral describes it as "partial 16S ribosomal RNA". It matches the Rfam family "Bacterial small subunit ribosomal RNA", at positions 28 to 523 of the family's 1533-position model. The record is from RNAcentral.
GACGAACGCUGGCGGCGUGCUUAACACAUGCAAGUCGAGCGGAAAGGCCACUUCGGUGGUACUCGAGCGGCGAACGGGUGAGUAACACGUGAGUAAUCUGCCCCUGGCUUUGGGAUAGCCACCGGAAACGGUGAUUAAUACCGGAUACGACCACUUCUCGCAUGGGAUGGUGGUGGAAAGUUUUUUCGGCCAGGGAUGUGCUCGCGGCCUAUCAGCUUGAUGGUGAGGUAAUGGCUCACCAUGGCUUCGGCGGGUAGCCGGCCUGAGAGGGUGACCGGUCACACUGGGACUGAGACACGGCCCAGACUCCUACGGGAGGCAGCAGUGGGGAAUAUUGGACAAUGGGCGGAAGCCUGAUCCAGCAACGCCGCGUGAGGGAUGACGGCCUUCGGGUUGUAAACCUCUUUCAGCAGGGACGAAGCGCAAGUGACGGUACCUGCAGAAGAAGCACCGGCCAACUACGUGCCAGCAGCCGCUGUAA